This 315-nucleotide unclassified non-coding RNA is filed under the name Hevea brasiliensis (rubber tree). Lineage: Eukaryota; Viridiplantae; Streptophyta; Magnoliopsida; Malpighiales; Euphorbiaceae. The record is from RNAcentral.
AAAACAGAGACGACAAAGAUGCUUAUGAGAUAUCUGGCUUUCAUGGGUGGUCGGUCAGGUACAGAGGGAAGAACAGUCGAGCAGCAAGUUUUGGAGUCUAAUCCAGUACUGGAAGCAUUUGGAAAUUCCAAGACAGUCAAGAACAAUAAUUCUAGUCGUUUCGGUAAAUUCGUUGAGAUCCAGUUCGAUAAGCACGGGAAGAUUUCUGGAGCUGCAGUCAGGACAUAUCUUCUUGAGCGAUCCCGUGUAUGUCAGGUGUCUGACCCUGAGAGGAACUACCAUUGUUUCUACAUGCUCUGUUCUGCGCCACCAGAG